CCCUUAGAUGUUCUGGGCUGCACGCGCGCUACACUGACGCACGCAACAGGUGCCUGCUCCGAGAGGACUGGGUAAUCAUUUGAGUGUGCGUCGUGAUGGGGAUAGAAUAUUGUAAUUAUUACUCUUCAACGAGGAAUUCCCAGUAAGCGCAAGUCAGCAGCUUGCGCUGAUUACGUCCCUGCCCUUUGUACACACCGCCCGUCGCUCCUACCGAUGGGUGAUCCGGUGAAUGAUUCGGACUUCAGCGGCUCCUCUGGGGUGCGCCGGAGAAAGUUUUGUGAACCUUAUCACUUGGAGGAAGGAGAAGUCGUAACA
This 315-nucleotide ribosomal RNA is filed under the name uncultured eukaryote. RNAcentral describes it as "partial 18S ribosomal RNA". It matches the Rfam family "Eukaryotic small subunit ribosomal RNA", at positions 1470 to 1796 of the family's 1831-position model. The record is from RNAcentral.